Molecule: ribosomal RNA, 3090 nt
Filed under: Triticum aestivum (bread wheat)
Lineage: Eukaryota; Viridiplantae; Streptophyta; Magnoliopsida; Poales; Poaceae
Description: partial small subunit ribosomal RNA
Source: RNAcentral
UAGUCUAGAACUAGACGAAGUAGAGAGUUUGCUGCGGGGUCGGGGUUCUCCUCGGCGGCGGCGGCCCCUUACUCUCCUCGGCAGCGGCGGUCCAGUGGCGACGGGAGCGUGAGCGUAGGUAUGGAAGCGGCGGAGGGAGCGCGAACGCCUAGGGACCUUACGGCGGCUAGGCUCUGCUCGGCGGCGGCGGCUCCUUGCUCUGCUCGGUGGCGGAAGUAACGCCUGGAUCCGAUCCCAAGGUAUGCGGCGGCGGCCACAGAGCGGGGGAGUGGUGAGGAAGCGCCCGCGGUGGGUUGGUGGUGGCGGGAGAGGUACGUGGGCGUGUGUGAGUGGGUUGAGAGAGAGGCGGCGGCGGUAGAUCUAGAGCCGACCAACUAAGGCUGCCGCGCGUAGUGUGAGGAGGACACGAGCGGAGCGCGGCGACGCAGGUGGGUAGGCCGACCUAAGCGGCGAGGGGCCACCGUUCCCGAAGUCAGCGGAGGUUGAGGCCGCUGAGGCCGCCAAGUAGAGGCUGCGGAUGGGUCGGGGGCGCACGUCGAGACAGAGGACCUACUUAAACAGGACGAGCUCCUGCUGGUCAAGAAGGAGUUGGAGGUUCCUGCGGGCGGUAGCAGCUCGGAGGGAGGCACCCUACGGUACCUCUACUUUGAGGGGAGCUGGUCCCUUAAGUUCCCGUACACCCUCUCUCUCCUCCAGGUACCUCUUCUACGAGACGAGGUUGGGAGGGACGGAGGAUGAUGUUCUACAGAAAAAACACACACGAACAUAACGUCGUCGGUAGUCGUCGUCGUCCGGCUCACUGCCACCACCGACACACGUCCGGUACCUCCGCUACUACUCGUGCUCCCCUUCCGACGACGAAGUUGGGGCAAUUCCAAGGCAUUCUUCGUGUUAUUUCAGCCAUACUUCCGAUACUCUCCUACCCGUUAUGUCUAUAACUCUCCCGACCUUAUAGAAGUCUCAGUCCUUGGUAGGUAAUAAGUAUCCCUAAAUUCCACACUGUUGUAUAAGUAUUUGCCAGUACUACCUGUUCACUUCUAACCGCUGAAACCAGACCGCUGUAAAAACGUAGUUGCCUUUUGCUCUUCAUAGUUUCCGUGUAAUCUCAAAUACCGUGGUCUUGAGAAGUGACCCUUAAUGUUGCUCAACCACCUAUAUAUAAGUAAACCCUACACGUACGAACUUUACCACUGUACACUUAUUGGUAUAUCACUUACGCUUCCGUUCGGUACCUAUAUGUUCUUUUAAACACUUCCAUAUUUUGGUCGACACGAAAGUCUCCAAAGUAUCUUUAGACAAACCGAGGCCGUCGACUUUCUGAAACACGUUCACUCGAGAACUUCUUGACAAAGGAGGUCUUUCUGUUCGGAUAGGGUCGCGGAGGAUAAAGUCAGAGGGACUAGAGCUCACACUGAUUUCUACCCGCCGUCAGACGGUCAAAGUACGAUACCUUCCCACUUAAGAGUGAUUUUCCUCUGUACGUACAGUGGCUGGUACAAUUAAAUAGCGAUUCUAAAGGACUAGGGUCACCAACAAAAUUCUUACAGCUCAAGGGUAAGCUACACCUGGUUCUAUGGUCGGAAAGACACCGAGACCUUUACCAGCUGUGAAAACCUGCCACCGCCGCCGCCACUGUCUCCGAUACCGAGCUAUCGCUCUGCUCAGACAACUCUUAUCGGUCGCUGCCCAAGAAAAGAAAGCGAACGAGACAAAAUUUUUUUUCUUCUUCUGUUCCCAAGGAAAAAAAUAUGUCUCUUAAAUGGUAUCAUAACCUUUAUGAAACCAAAACUAUUAUGUCAAAAAUCACGAUUGGUUUGUCCAGUGACAUUUAUUUUGGUACCAUUCAUUUUUUUGACGUCAUAAGAUUCUUAUGAAUUUUUUAUGAAACGAUAGUUUGUCCCGGAGUUUCAUUAAUUUUGGUACCAUUAGGAUUUUUGACAUCAUAAAGGUCUUAUGAAUCUUUUAUAUCUCGAUAGUUUGUCCCGGACUUAGUAGUUAACCUCCACCAUCAUACUCUAAAUUUUUUAGACUGCCACAUCCUCUAUAGAUUGAUGUACCGUUACAAGCUACCUACAAGACGCUUAACGAGCGUUCGGUACUUUUUAAUGUCAAAUUGUGUCGUAUAUAUAACAGAAUGUGUGAGUACUAGACCACUAUCAAAAUUAACGGAACUAGAAACAAAACAUCAUGUCUGUUCUUAUCGAAGUUACUGUCGUAGAGCUUAGUAGUUCAACACACUGAAGGGAGAACUCACCCACAACAUAAAAUCGUCCGGAUAUAAACUUUAUAAACUCUCGGUGAAAACAACAAAGAUAUACCCACGUGUGGUUUAAUAUGGAAGGCUCUUCUAAUUACACGAGUACUAAAUGGAAGACUUUUUCCCUUGAACACUAGGUAAACGCGCGUUACUCGACCUCUACCCCCGUGUUUUCCUGUGAUUCGGUGGGGUCUAACAAUGCCGUGUCACCACGGUGACGCACCCGUAGUUGUGCUCCUCAACUACGUUGAAGUUGUGUCCCGCCGUCGCCGUACUACUGAAGUUGUGCUCAGGACCACUCUUCUUGCGCCCUCGAUCCUAUAUCUCGGUCUACAACACAUACACAUUCUUAAAGUAGAUGCGAAUAUAAUAAAACGUCCCAGGAUUACGUAAGUGAUGAGAUUAAAGAGGACCUACGUAGCCUUGUGUGACGAUGGUUCACAUUAUGAGAACUUUGCUUGUGUAUAUCAAUCAUAAGAUCCUUUAUUUCCUUUGAUACCUUAUUACUCCUGGGACUAGAAGAUACAUUUGAUCUAUAACUAGGAUGUACCUUAAAGAUACAUUUUUAAUGACUGUAUCACCUCUUCGCGUGGUGAACUACAGGACUCGGAAGCGUGUCGGUCGUUCACGAAACCGACCCGAACACAACCUACCAUCUUUCAAAACUGAGUCCAACAACAAACAAGUAAACCGUACUGAUGAACAUCCGCCAUAAAAUAACAAUCAAAGUUGUAAUACAGUUGAGACAACAAAACCAGACACGAAUAAUAUCAUAAGACCGAUCUAUCACAAGUGUAACAUCAUGGAUUAUGAAGUGUACAUGAGGGAGGCAG